AUGGGAGAGCACUUCUGUGGCCUCCACAGCAAUUUGUUAUACCAACUGUUACCACAGAUGGGAACGAUUUUACCUCAGAUAAUACAACUUGUGGAGAAAUAGUCAAUAAAUACUCAUUUAAGGAUCAGUCUAGGCAAAACGAUUAAGUGGACUUCAGUAGGAGUCUGUGGAAUAGCUAAGAAACAUGACCAGGCAACUCAGAUAUCACUUCGUUGUCAAAAUAAUUUCACUUGCGGAGACAAAGAUCUAUGAAGCUUCCAUUAUGACAAAUUCUGUUCCCAGCUUCACAAGCACUGCACAAAAAGCACGCAACAUGUUGCAUGUGUCCAGAACUGCAGUGAGAACCUCUUCAUUUAAACUUAUUUGUCCUAUUCAAGUGAUUCAGCAUGUAAUUAAGGUCUACCACAUUAUAAAAAUUAGCCACAGAUCACCAUUUGUUACAAGUGUGACUCACAGGGGCUAAGCCUGUUUAAUAUUCUGUCUGGCAGCAAAAUGUUCGAGGGCAGAAUCCAGAUCAAUACACACAAUUUUUUUUUCAGUCUUCCCUGCAGUAGCAGUGUUGUACAUUUUGGCAUCUCUGUCUUGCCAACUGCAAUGAAAGAAAUUGUCAUUCAAAAUAAGAC
Molecule: long non-coding RNA, 623 nt
Organism: Cygnus olor (mute swan)
Lineage: Eukaryota; Metazoa; Chordata; Aves; Anseriformes; Anatidae
Exons: 4
Source: RefSeq, a predicted model, not a curated record